AACGUCUGGCCCUUCAGGGAGCAGGUAGUGGCGGACGGGUGAGGAACACGUGGGUCACCUACCCUUUGGUGAGGAAUACCGCCGAGAAAUCGGCGACAAGACCGCAUAGGCUUCCUUCGGGAAGCAAAGCUGCUGAUGAGAGUCAGUGGUGCCAGAGGAUGGGCCUGCGCCCGAUUAGCUAGUUGGUGGGGUAACGGCUCACCAAGGCGACGAUCGGUAGCUGGUCUGAGAGGAUGGACAGCCACACUGGGAUUGAGAACGGCCCAGACUCCUACGGGAGGCAGCAGUGAGGAAUUUUCCGCAAUGGAGGCAACUCUGACGGAGCAACGCCGCGUGCAGGAGGACGGUCUUCGGAUUGUAAACUGCUUUUCCCAGGGACGAGAGUGGACGGUACCUGGGGAACAAGCCCCGGCUAACUAUGUGCCAGCAGCCGCGGUAAU
Molecule: ribosomal RNA, 440 nt
Filed under: uncultured bacterium
Lineage: Bacteria
Description: bacterial SSU rRNA
Rfam family: Bacterial small subunit ribosomal RNA
Source: RNAcentral